UAUUGCGAGCUAAUCCUACCCCCUCUCCGCAGUUUCUGGAAAACGUGGGCUCCAUUACCAGCAGUAUCAAGAUCGGAGGCGAGGGCCGAGCAGUUUUGGCGGCGAGUGGGCGAUUUUGCGUUGGGCGCCCUCGUCGGCAUUGGCUUUCAGCCAUGGAGGAAUCGGCGCCUCGGCUUCACGACGACACGUUACAGCGUCUCCACCGCCACCACUUCUGCCCUGAGGUUAUUUGGCGGUGGGCAGCAGCGUGUGAAAUCUACUGCAGAGGAUUUGGGCAUUUUCCUACCGGUGGAAGACCUGCAUCCAGCUCCACAAGUCCUUUACUAGCCCUCCUUGCUGCAGUUCCAUCCUCUACCGUCAGGCCAGGCUGUAGUGCAGAAAAACUUUGAAAGAUGACCAUGUAAAAAUGACAAGCAUCAACUGGAAGAGAAAUACCUGAAAGUACAACUCGUGGCAAGCUUCGUUUCUGUUACGGACAGGGAUGGCUCAAACGAUAAGAUAAGUUACACAUGUGUUGUGCUGUACAUUUUUAUUUGCAUUAAACCUGACUUCUGUUUUCCAAUUUUUAUGUCCACAAAGCUAUAAUCCACCCAUCAUCACUAGUUCACUACUAUUAGUUCUAAUGGAAAAUUUGAUAGACUUCAUUAGAUGAAGUUUUCUCCCAAUGGCGCCCAUAAAAAAUGGGAUGGAUAUCUCUCCCAUUAUGAUGAUCUGGCUGCCUAUCUUCCUGGCACGGAACAUAGGGCAUUAUCAAGAGGAAUGACCCCCCUGUGUUUGAUCUUUGUAAUAUCUUCACUGGGUACAACUUCUGUAAUAGAAAGGUAUGACUAAUGUAUUCUAUUUGACCGUGUUUAA
Non-coding RNA from Aegilops tauschii subsp. strangulata, 855 nucleotides. Lineage: Eukaryota; Viridiplantae; Streptophyta; Magnoliopsida; Poales; Poaceae. The record is from RefSeq and is a predicted model, not a curated record.